UACGAAGGGGGCUAGCGUUGUUCGGAAUCACUGGGCGUAAAGGCGCGUAGGCGGCCGAUUAAGUCGGGGGUGAAAGCCUGUGGCUCAACCACAGAAUUGCCUUCGAUACUGAUUGGCUUGAGACCGGAAGAGGUCAGUGGAACUGCGAGUGUAGAGGUGAAAUUCGUAGAUAUUCGCAAGAACACCAGUGGCGAAGGCGGCUGACUGGUCCGGUUCUGACGCUGAGGCGCGAAAGCGUGGGGAGCAAACAGG
This 252-nucleotide ribosomal RNA is filed under the name uncultured bacterium. Its description in RNAcentral is "partial 16S ribosomal RNA". It matches the Rfam family "Bacterial small subunit ribosomal RNA", at positions 524 to 776 of the family's 1533-position model. The record is from RNAcentral.